This 353-nucleotide ribosomal RNA is filed under the name uncultured bacterium. Its description in RNAcentral is "bacterial SSU rRNA". It matches the Rfam family "Bacterial small subunit ribosomal RNA", at positions 866 to 1210 of the family's 1533-position model. The record is from RNAcentral.
AUUCCGCCUGGGAAGUACGGACCGGCAAGGUUAAAACUACUAAAGGAAUUGACGGGGGCCCGGCACAAGCGGUGGGAGCAUGUGGUUUAAUUCGAUGCAACGCGAAGAACCUUACCUGGGCUUGACAUGUCCGGAAUCCUGCAGAGAUGCGGGAGUGCCCUUCGGGGAAUCGGAACACAGGUGCUGCAUGGCUGUCGUCAGCUCGUGUCGUGAGAUGUUGGGUUAAGUCCCGCAACGAGCGCAACCCUUGUCCUUAGUUGCCAGCGGUUCGGCCGGGGCACUCUAGGGAGACUGCCGGUGACAAACCGGAGGAAGGUGGGGAUGACGUCAAGUCCUCAUGGCCUUUAUGUCCA